This 1001-nucleotide ribosomal RNA is filed under the name uncultured bacterium. RNAcentral describes it as "bacterial SSU rRNA". It matches the Rfam family "Bacterial small subunit ribosomal RNA", at positions 9 to 1018 of the family's 1533-position model. The record is from RNAcentral.
GAGUUUGAUCCUGGCUCAGGACGAACGCUGGCGGUGCGCCUUAUGCAUGCAAGUUGAGCGAAGCAUUUCAGUAGUUUACUACAGAAAAUGACUGAGCGGCGAACGGGUGAGUAACGCGUGAGCAAUCUACCUUAGUUACUGGGAUAGCCCGAGGAAACUCGGAUUAAUACCGGAUAUUCUUAUUUUUUCACAUGAAGUUUUAAGGAAAGGUCAGCCGAACUAAGAUGAGCUCGCGUUCUAUCAGCUAGUUGGUGGGGUAAAAGCCUACCAAGGCUACGACGGAUAGCUGGUCUGAGAGGACGAUCAGCCACACUGGGACUGAGACACGGCCCAGACUCCUACGGGAGGCUGCAGCAGGGAAUAUUGCGCAAUGAGCGAAAGCUUGACGCAGCGACACCGCGUGUGGGAUGACGGUUCUAGGAUUGUAAACCACUUUCAGGAGGGAAGAAAAUGACGGUACCUCCACAAGAAGACCCGGCCAACUACGUGCCAGCAGCCGCGGUAAUACGUAGGGGUCAAGCGUUGUCCGGAUUUAUUGGGCGUAAAGAGCUCGUAGGCGGUUCAACAAGUCGGUCGUAAAAGUUUAGGGCUCAACCCUAAAAUGUCGAUCGAUACUGUUGUGACUAGGAUACGGUAGAGGUGAAUGGAAUUCCGAGUGUAGCGGUGAAAUGCGUAGAUAUUCGGAGGAACACCAAUUGCGAAGGCAGUUCACUGGACCGUGAUCGACGCUGAGGAGCGAAAGCUAGGGGAGCAAACAGGAUUAGAUACCCUGGUAGUCCUAGCUGUAAACGAUGGAUACUAGAUGUAGAACUGGAUUGACGGUUUCUGUAUCGUAGCUAACGCGUUAAGUAUCCCGCCUGGGGAGUACGGUCGCAAGACUAAAACUCAAAGGAAUUGACGGGACCCCGCACAGCGGCGAGCAUGCGCUUAAUUCGAUGAUACCCGUAGAACCUUACCUGNCUUGACAAUAUAGGAAAAGCUAAAGAAAAUUUAGUGUGCGU